This 301-nucleotide ribosomal RNA is filed under the name uncultured bacterium. RNAcentral's name for it is "partial 16S ribosomal RNA". It matches the Rfam family "Bacterial small subunit ribosomal RNA", at positions 509 to 808 of the family's 1533-position model. The record is from RNAcentral.
CAGUAGCCGCGGGAAUACGUAGGUCCCGAGCGUUGUCCGGAUUUAUUGGGCGUAAAGCGAGCGCAGGCGGUUAGAUAAGUCUGAAGUUAAAGGCUGUGGCUUAACCAUAGUACGCUUUGGAAACUGUUUAACUUGAGUGCAAGAGGGGAGAGUGGAAUUCCAUGUGUAGCGGUGAAAUGCGUAGAUAUAUGGAGGAACACCGGUGGCGAAAGCGGCUCUCUGGCUUGUAACUGACGCUGAGGCUCGAAAGCGUGGGGAGCAAACAGGAUUAGAGACCCCAGUAGUCCCUGUCUCUUAUACC